AAGGGGUUGACUAGGGAUUAACUCCUUAACUCCUUGGUGUUUGGGAAGUGAAACAAUUUCUUACAUCGUUAGCAAGGUUUUAUUAAAAAGAAUACUUUAGCAAGUUUGGGUAUUUUGUUUACAUCAUCCUCCAUCCAACAUUUGUUAACAAAAAAUGGUGAAGGAAAAAGUGAAAUGAAGAAAGCAUUGAUAUUUUUUUUGCGAGUAAAAACUGAUGGUAUACAAAAGAGUGAACACGAAAGGAUUAAUU
Molecule: long non-coding RNA, 250 nt
Filed under: Lathyrus oleraceus (garden pea)
Lineage: Eukaryota; Viridiplantae; Streptophyta; Magnoliopsida; Fabales; Fabaceae
Description: Pisum sativum (pea) long non-coding RNA (PSAT_LNC014352)
Source: RNAcentral